AUUGAACGCUGGCGGCAUGCUUUACACAUGCAAGUCGAACGGCAGCGCGGGGGCAACCCUGGCGGCGAGUGGCGAACGGGUGAGUAAUGCAUCGGAAUGUAUCCUGUAAUGGGGGAUAACGUAGCGAAAGUUACGCUAAUACCGCAUACGCUCGAGAGAGGAAAGUGGGGGAUCGCAAGACCUCACGUUAUAGGAGCGGCCGAUGUCCGAUUAGCUAGUUGGUGGGGUAAAGGCCUACCAAGGCGACGAUCGGUAGCUGGUCUGAGAGGAUGAUCAGCCACACUGGGACUGAGACACGGCCCAGACUCCUACGGGAGGCAGCAGUGGGGAAUUUUGGACAAUGGGCGAAAGCCUGAUCCAGCCAUGCCGCGUGCGGGAAGAAGGCCUCGGUUGUAACG
Molecule: ribosomal RNA, 398 nt
Filed under: uncultured bacterium
Lineage: Bacteria
Description: bacterial SSU rRNA
Rfam family: Bacterial small subunit ribosomal RNA
Source: RNAcentral